UGGUGAUGGCUCCUCGGCGGACUUCGCGGAAUAAGGAGACCACCUCGGCGUGGACCAAACCCUCGACUUUUCUUCCAUUUAUGGCAAUAAUCUCAUCACCUGGGCAAGACAAAAGAAGAAGAAAAAAAUAAAGGAAGAAGAAAAACUAAAAACUACUUUUCAAGACUCGGACGGGCUUUGAGUUAUUCUUCUUUUGGUGGCAGCUGUAAGGAGCAGCCAGUCCAUGUGUGUUGUUGUGUGUAGGUGGAACAUUCUUUUGAUAAAAGGGAGGGGUCGCACGGACGGAUGGAUGGAUGGAAUUGAAAUGAAAUGUGAUUAUAGUCAGACACACAAGGUCGGUCGGGCAACGCGCAUACCUUCUCUCAGAGUGGCUUCCUCAGCUGCUUGUCCGCCCGGAUAAAUCGUUUUCACGAAAAUGCCCAGUUUGCCUUUGGGCGAGUCCUCGCCGCCGACGAUGCUGAAGCCCAGGCCCUUCCUGCUGCCGGACUUGGUGCCGGCCCCACCUUUCUGGAAGGUGACGGUGAAGAUGGAGUAGGUCGACGGGCGGAUGUGCUUCGGCAGUGGCACAUCCGUCGACGAGUACAGCGGCUCGGCCGGCUGCUGCAACGACGAGCUGCACGAAGACGAGAACGACGUUUCCUUGUUGUCCGAGUCGUCCGGCACGGAAGCCGCCCGGUUGGUGCUGAUGCGCCUCGUCUGCAAGCGGAGGGCGCCCAUCGUCUCCGUGAUGGGCCUAGUGGCAGCCGCCGCCACCUCCUUCAGUACCUGCACCUUGGCGUCCACCUGGUCUUGUCCAGCUGGCGAGAAAACUGUGUCAUCGUCCUCUUCAUCCGCAUCUUCUUCUUCUUCCUCCUCCUCUUCGUGGUGGCAGCGCUGAUCCGUCAGCAAAGGUUGGGACAGGGCAUGACUUAGGGAAACCUUUCGAUUGGCCGUUUUGGAACCGGCAAUGGAUGCCACCGCCGGCUUGUUGUUUAAUCGCUGAUGGCGGAGCAACGUGCUGGCCGACUGGGUCUGGAAGCUGGCCAAAUCCUGGGUGCCGUGCAAACUAACGGCCCGCCUGGUGCGUGGCUGCAGGGGAAAUUGCUGGAAAUGCUGCUCGAGCGACUGGAACACGUCCUGGUUGUUGUGGCCAGCAGCCCGCUGACCGAGAUCCACUUCAUCCUCCUCAAUCGGAUGAUCGGCCUCCUCUUCCUCUUCGUCGUCGCCCGUGCUGCUGCCCGGAGGUGGCGGAGGACGGAAGUGGAUGGGCACCGGCAAUCGACUGACGCAUUCACCCCCGCCGUCGUCCUGGCAACGGGAGAUGAGGAACGCCGAGUCGGAAGAGCCGAAAUGUUUGCUGGAGCUGAGUCGGUUGUUGUUGUUGUGGUUGGUGCUGCUCUUCCGCCUAUUCCGCUCACAUGUCGUAGGGUCAACCGGCGCCGACGACGACGACGAGGACAGGCCGAGUUUUUUGGCCAGGGUUGUCGUCACGUGACUGGCGUGCGCCAACCAGAGACCCGAUCGAAUCGCCUUUUUGGUUGUUGGAAUCGGUUGUUGUUGUUGUUGAUUUGGGGGGCGAGGCGGCAAUGGUGGGACCCUGGGACUGAGCUGCGGUGACGGCGGCGUCGUGCGGCUUUGUUGUUCGUGUUUAGAACCACUGCGUCGACGGCGUCGUUUCUCCCACGGUGCGGCGUGAAUGAGGACAGAACGAAUUUGGCGACGCCAUCCGCCGCCAGGAGCCGAGUCGCUUUUGGCCGGACCAGCUGGCGACGCCGAUUUGGAGGUGGUGGCCAGCAGAGAAGAUUUGAGACACUCGACGCUUUUGGCGGCCGGUGCGGACGUGGUCAAUUUGCCGCGCAAACUGCCCACCCGAGUGAAAGUGAGUCGAUUGGACGUGAAUCCGCCGCAGUCGUCGUCGUCGUCGUCGCCCUCGUCGUCACUGGACACGCCGACGCCCACGUCGCGGGAACUGCAAUGCGACGAAUUCAAUUUCAUGUUGAAUUUACCGGCACUGCCGCCGGAGUAGACGGUGAAGCGACUCUUGUCGUGGACGCUAAUGGAGCGCCGGAUGCGGCCCAAACCGCGUGACUCACGACUCUCGUGCCCUUCCGCCCGGCCCGCCCGCCCGCCUCUCUUCGUGGUCGAUCCGCCCGAUUUCGACGACGACGAGCCGCUGCUGAAGGAGAGCGAGCGACGCUUGCUGCUGCUGCUGCUGCUGCCGCCCGUCGUCAGCUGAUGGGCGUUGUGACGCAAUCCCUGCAGUUUGUGCCUCAGGACGCUAAACGACCAGACAGUGCGGUGGUGGUCCGGCGACGGGGAAUCACGAUGAUGGUGGCGGACCAUGGCGUCGUCGUCUGUGCAGCAUCCGACGUCGUCAUCGUCGACUUCACUGGACUCGGCUGAAUGCGAGUCGUUGUCGUUGUCGUCACAGGCCAGCGAAGAGUUGAAGCACGGCUGCUUGAGCAUGCUGGCCCAGCGCUCGGAAGAGACUGGCACCGAUUCGGCUACGAUCGGCGACAUGGCCGUCCUGUUUUUAUCGAUUCAACACGGAACAAAAGAAAAGCAAAAGUCAGUCGACAGUUUUUGUUUUUCCAGGGGGAAAAGAAGAAAUGAAAUGAAAAAAGUUUCAAGUAUCGUGAAAUGGGAGGAAUUGUAACACGACAUUGCGCUCACGUUGCUCAACGCGGGAAUGAAAAACGAUACCCCCCUCCUAGCUGGAAAAGAAUAAAAGAGUCGAGAUUGAAGGGAGAACAAAUAACGAGCGGAGCAGAGGACAUACCCGGACACAGAAUGAGACACGAAAUGUGCGUUUCUUUCUAUUUGGAUGUUAGUGACGACGAGGCCACCCAACUGGUUACUCUUAUUAUUACUUUUAAGAAGGAGAUGCCACUCUAGUCAGUGUCUAGUCAGCUCAGACAAUGCGGAUGGACGUGAUCAAAGUGCGAGUGAGCUUCUGUCUCACGAAGAUGGGCUAGAGCUGCAGCCUCCACUGUUCAUCGACGAUGUCGCGUCACUCACUUGCACACGAAUGCACUGCCCGGCUGUUGUUCAAAAAAAGCUUCCCUCUCUCUGUCUCUCUGAUUCCUAUAGCUCCGUUUUCACGUUUUCUUUCUAGCGCCCUUGUUAGAUUUUCGACAUGAGUGAACAAGCGCCUUAAGGAGCGAAUGGGGGGAGGUCGUCCACGAUUUUUUCGUUUUACGAUAGGACGACGACACAAUCGAGACGACCAGCAUAUCAGACUUUUAGCACGUUUCGUCCAUCACCUGAUUGUGGCUGCUGCUGUCGCGGCCGCCCCUUUACGGAUCCUCGUCCCAAUGUUUUAUGGCCGUCGCUGCUGCUCACUUGUACUGGAAACCCAACCGGAGGAGCAGGAGCACCUCACAGAUGACUGAAACUAGGAGCCCACGACCACAACACGUCCAAAGGUCAUGCCUCGCUCGAAUCGAACUGAAUACUGAACCUCCUGGCUUGUAGACUUGUGGGUUUUUCGUGUCUAAAGC
Long non-coding RNA from Daphnia pulex (common water flea), 3479 nucleotides. RefSeq lists it as uncharacterized. The record is from RefSeq and is a predicted model, not a curated record. NCBI's taxonomy places the organism in Eukaryota, Metazoa, Arthropoda, Branchiopoda, Diplostraca, Daphniidae. The transcript is spliced from 3 exons.